Molecule: ribosomal RNA, 611 nt
Filed under: uncultured bacterium
Lineage: Bacteria
Description: bacterial SSU rRNA
Rfam family: Bacterial small subunit ribosomal RNA (bases 1-524)
Source: RNAcentral
CCUACGGGGGGCGAGCAGUGGGGAAGUAUUGGACAAUGGGCGGCAAGCCUGAUCCAGCCAUGCCGCGUGAGUGAUGACGGCCUUAGGGUUGUAAAGCUCUUUCGACGGGGACGAUAAUGACGGUACCCGUAGAAGAAGCCCCGGCUAACUUCGUGCCAGCAGCCGCGGUAAUACGAAGGGGGCGUAGCGUUGUUCGGAAUCACUGGGCGUAAAGCGCACGUAGGCGGACUUUUAAGUCAGGGGUGAAAUCCCGAGGCUCAACCUCGGAACUGCCUUUGAUACUGGGAGUCUCGAGUCCGGAAGAGGUUGGUGGAACAGCUAGUGUAGAGGUGAAAUUCGUAGAUAUUAGCUAGAACACCAGUGGCGAAGGCGGCCAACUGGUCCGGUACUGACGCUGAGGUGCGAAAGCGUGGGGAGGCAAACAGGAUUAGAUACCCUGGUAGUCCACGCCGUAAACGAUGGAAGCUAGCCGUUGGCAAGCAUGCUUGUCGGUGGCGCNGACAACGACUUACGUACGUUCCGUCCGUCGGGUAGGUACGGUCGGUCGAGAAUAAACUAACAACGAAGUAGUACGGCGNGNGAGNGCCGACGACGACGACGACGGGAGGAGG